This 176-nucleotide ribosomal RNA is filed under the name Lactarius cf. luculentus KGP76. RNAcentral's name for it is "partial 28S ribosomal RNA". It matches the Rfam family "Eukaryotic large subunit ribosomal RNA", at positions 1 to 175 of the family's 3401-position model. Lineage: Eukaryota; Fungi; Basidiomycota; Agaricomycetes; Russulales; Russulaceae. The record is from RNAcentral.
UUGACCUCAAAUCGGGUGAGACUACCCGCUGAACUUAAGCAUAUCAAUAAGCGGAGGAAAAGAAACUAACAGGAUUCCCCUAGUAACUGCGAGUGAAGCGGGAAAAGCUCAAAUUUAAAUCUGGCGGUCUUUGGCCGUCCGAGUUGUAAUUUANAGAAGCGUCUUCCGCGCUGACG